CAAUAGCGUAUAUUUAAGUUGUUGCAGUUAAAAAGCUCGUAGUUGGAUUUCGGGUGGGACGCAGCGGUCUCGCAUUGCGUUUGUACUGCUGCAGCCCUCCUUCUUGCCGGGGGCGGCCUCUCGGACUUCACUGUCUGGGGGUCAGAAUCGGCGAUGUUACUUUGAGUAAAUUAGAGUGUUCAAAGCAAGCAACCGCUCUGAAUAUAAUAGCAUGGGAUAACACGACAGGACUCUGGCCUAUCGUGUUGGUCUAUAGGACCAGAGUAAUGAUUAAGAGGGACAGUCGGGGGCAUUCGUAUUCCGUUGUCAGAGGUGAAAUUCUUGGAUUUACGGAAGACGAACAUCUGCGAAAGCAUUUGCCAAGGAUGUUUUCAUUGA
RNAcentral lists this ribosomal RNA (378 nucleotides) under uncultured eukaryote. RNAcentral's name for it is "partial 18S ribosomal RNA". It matches the Rfam family "Eukaryotic small subunit ribosomal RNA", at positions 592 to 976 of the family's 1831-position model. The record is from RNAcentral.